UGAGUACGAGAUGCUACGGCAUCGAAGCAGUCUAUGUCAUACUUCCAAGAAAAGCUUGCACUGUCAUAAACAAAGAAUGCCUGUACCAUAACCGACACAGGUGGGUAGGUAGAGUAUACUAAGGGGCGCGAGAUAACUCUCUCUAAGGAACUCGGCAAAAUGACUCCGUAACUUCGGGAGAAGGAGUGCCUUAUUUCUAAGGUUGCAAUAACAAGAUCCAAGCAACUGUUUACCAAAAACACAGGUCUCCGCUAAGUCGUAAGACGAUGUAUGGGGGCUGACGCCUGCCCAGUGCCAGAAGGUUAAAGAAGUUGGUUAGCAUUAGCGAAGCUGAUAACUGAAGCCCUGGUGAACGGCGGCCGUAACAAUAACGGUCCUAAGGUAGCGAAAUUCCUUGUCGGGUAAGUUCCGACCCGCACGAAAGGCGUAAUGAUUUGGAUACUGUCUCGGAGAGGGGCUCGGUGAAAUAGACUUGUCUGUGAAGAUGCGGACUACCUGCACCUGGACAGAAAGACCCUAUGAAGCUUUACUGUAACUUGAGAUUGAAAUUGGACUUUAUUUGCGCAGUAUAGGUGGGAGGCGUUGAGAAUAAUCUUGCGGGAUUGUUGAGCCAUCAGUGAGAUACCACUCUUGUAAUGUUAGAUUUCUAACUUUGUAUCAUUAUCUGGUCAAAGAACAGUUUCAGGCGGGCAGUUUGACUGGGGCGGUCGCCUCCCAAAGGGUAACGGAGGCGCACAAAGGUUUCCUCUGAACGGGUAGAAAUCGUAUCUAGAGUGUAAAGGCAUAAGGAAGCUUGACUGUGAGACCUACAAGUCGAGCAGGGACGAAAGUCGGUCUUAGUGAUCUGACGGUGCUGAGUGGAAAGGCCGUCACUCAACGGAUAAAAGUUACUCUAGGAUAACAGGCUGAUCUCCCCCAAGAGUUCACAUCGACGGGGAGGUUUGGCACCUCGAUGUCGGCUCAUCGCAUCCUGGGGCGGUAGUCCGUCCCAAGGGUUGGGCUGUUCGCCCAUGAAAGCGGUACGCGAGCUGGGUUCAGAACGUCGUGAGACAGUUCGGUCCAUAUCCGGUGUAGGCGUUAGAAUAUUGAGAGGAGCCUUCUCUAGUACGAGAGGACCGAGAAGGACAUACCUCUGGUGUACCAGUUAUCGUGCCAACGGUAAACGCUGGGUAGCUAUGUAUGGAGUGGAUAACCGCUGAAAGCAUCUAAGUGGGAAGCCCACCUCAAGAUAAGUAUUCC
RNAcentral lists this ribosomal RNA (1239 nucleotides) under metagenome. RNAcentral's name for it is "bacterial LSU rRNA". It matches the Rfam family "Bacterial large subunit ribosomal RNA", at positions 1564 to 2814 of the family's 2925-position model. The record is from RNAcentral.